CCCCUGAUCGCCCCAAAUCGCCGCCGCUGGCCCCGCACACACACCCCGAGCCCCGAGCCCCGAGCCCCGAGCCCCGAGCCCGAGCCCCGAGCCCCGAGCCCCGAGCCCCGAGCCCGAGCCCCGAGCCGGUGCCGGCGCUGUCCGAGCGCCCUCAGCUCUGCCGGCCCGGGCCGUGCCCAUCCCGAGCAGAGCGCACCGCUGACAGGACACGCGGUUGCUGAGCCCUCAGAAAAUGACACCAAACAUAACAGCGUGGUGUUCACUCGGCAAAGGGCAAGCGUGUUAAUCUGUAUGUGCCCUGCUUACUACCCUCUGUAGGCCACUUAUUUUAAAUUUAUGAAUAUCAGCCCUUAUGGCAGCGCUUCAGAGGCUCUGGAUGUGCAGCUUCCAUUCAUGGCAAGGGAAUUUGGAAAAUCUCCACAGUGGCUUCUACUGUACAAGUGCAUACACUGUCCCAUUAUUCUUACAGCCAAAAUGAAUUUUAAUGGCUUUGGUGUAUCACAGGCUUGGUCACGCCUUUGAAAUUCCUCGUGUCUGUAUUCCUGAUGGGGAGAGAAGUCUGUCAGAUUCUAUUCAGUUAUGCCUUAUGAUGAUGAUAUUUUCCUGUGGAUAUCUGAGUACCAAACAUCAGCCCUGCAGGACACAGAGCAGUUCCAGUUUGGAGAGCUCCCCGCCACCAAGGGGGUGCACACCAGGUGGCUGGGACAGCACGUGUGAGUCACUCUCUGGAGUGUGGGACGUGUUUGUGUUUCCAGUGCCAUGGAAACUGUGUUUGCUCUCUGUAAGUAGAGCCCAGGCCGUGAAAGGACCAUUGAUCCCAGCAGAGACGGCGACUGCGUGUUCACCACCGAAAACUGCACACUCACCUGCCCUCUGCAAAAGAAAGCAGCCUUGGGAGUUAGCAAGGAGCAGCAGCCUUGGGAGCAGCAGGAUCUUCCCCGUUGCUUUCGUGAUGUCCCAGCUGUGGCUCUUCCCAGCCAGCCUGCUGCGUGGAGCUGUCACCAAUAAUGGUGACGAGGAGGAGGAUGGUCCUGUCCUGCCUCCAUCUGAGCUCACUUCAGUGCCCUCCUGCGGAAUGGACUGGGCUCCUCGUCAGGCACGUUCUUCACAAGGAUCAGGGAGAAUUGCCCAGAUUUCAGCUGGAAUCUCGAGUCCAUGGGGGAGCCAGCACAGGCACAUGCACGGUGCAGCUGCAGGUAAAAGCAAGCUGACCUGAGGGAUCGGGUCAGAGCAGCUAUUUCAGCUCUGCAGAGAGAAAUGCCACUAUUUCACUCCUGUUGUUUUCCAAAUAAAUAAUCAUCAUCCCAGUUUAAUCUUAGAUACCAAGAUUUGCUACACUAUUUUUUGCGCUCAUGUGAGCAGGAUCUAGGUCACAAGAACGCAGCGAGCCGAGAUGAAAUGCAGGAGAUGUUCAGCACAAGGCAGUGCACAAGGAGCUGCCCUGCUCCUUACUCCUGGCACUCCAGUGCAGGCAGAGCAAUGCCAGGAGCUGGAAUUUGGCUGGAGCAGCGUUAGAAGUUUUUAUUUUGGGGAUGGGCAUAGUGAGGCUGGGGCAUGUCAGAGCUUCACAUAUAAAGGCCACAAGUGCAGAGGCUGUAUGCACUAGAUUAAACUUAAUGGAAGAAACAGUCAUAUUUUCAGGGCUAUUUUAUCUCUUUAUGCACAAAUAUAAAACCAGCCAAAGUUCUGACAUUACAUCCUUACCUAUCGUGGCUGGGUGUUUCUGCCCCAGUGGGUUUAAACAAGGAUGGAUUCAAUUCAGGUCAUGCUGCAGCUGAAGUGGGAGGAAAUUCUGAAAGGUUUGUCGUCAGUGUGCAGAAAGUCAAAAGGAAGGAAAAUUCAGUGAUAACCACGCUUGUUAGUUCAGCAAAGAACAGUCAUGUGGGAGCCUGGAGAAACCAGAUCAAUGAACUGAAAGACAACAAAUGAGAUGAGCCUUCAGCUGUGAAGGGGUGAAUUUUCCCUCAAUCAGAAUGAACAAGGCUGUUCAUAGAAGUGGAAUACUCCACUCUGAAGGAGUAUUCUAAUUUUUGCCUAAGGAUCUCAGUUUUUCUUUUUGUCCUGAAAUAAACCAUGUAGCUUUCUGCUUCAGAGAGUUUUAUUCUUGGCUCUGCACUUUCUCGGAGAUCUGAUUUUCCAGUGCACUGCGCCAUCUGCUCAUGGUUUACACCACGACAGAGUGGAAGGAGUGCAGGGCCUGGCAUGAGGUGUCGGUGCUGCUUUGAACCAG
Molecule: long non-coding RNA, 2230 nt
Organism: Taeniopygia guttata (zebra finch)
Lineage: Eukaryota; Metazoa; Chordata; Aves; Passeriformes; Estrildidae
Source: Ensembl